CGGGGUGGAGUAAUGUCUGGGAAACGUGCCUGAUGGAGGGGGAUAACUGCUGGAAACGGUAGCUAAUACCGCAUAACGUCGCAAGACCAAAGAGGGGGACCUUCGGGCCUCUUGCCAUCGGAUGUGCCCAGAUGGGAUUAGCUAGUAGGUGGGGUAACGGCUCACCUAGGCGACGAUCCCUAGCUGGUCUGAGAGGAUGCCAGCCACACUGGAACUGAGACACGGUCCAG
RNAcentral lists this ribosomal RNA (230 nucleotides) under uncultured bacterium. RNAcentral describes it as "partial 16S ribosomal RNA". It matches the Rfam family "Bacterial small subunit ribosomal RNA", at positions 104 to 334 of the family's 1533-position model. The record is from RNAcentral.